Molecule: transfer RNA, 69 nt
Filed under: Rattus norvegicus (Norway rat)
Lineage: Eukaryota; Metazoa; Chordata; Mammalia; Rodentia; Muridae
Rfam family: tRNA
About the family: Transfer RNA (tRNA) molecules are approximately 80 nucleotides in length. Their secondary structure includes four short double-helical elements and three loops (D, anti-codon, and T loops).
Source: Rfam by way of RNAcentral
GGGGAUUUAGCUCAGUGGUAGAGUGCUUGCCUCGCAAGCACAAGGCCCUGGGUUCGGUCCUCAGCUCCA